This 253-nucleotide ribosomal RNA is filed under the name uncultured bacterium. RNAcentral describes it as "partial 16S ribosomal RNA". It matches the Rfam family "Bacterial small subunit ribosomal RNA", at positions 524 to 776 of the family's 1533-position model. The record is from RNAcentral.
UACGUAGGGUGCAAGCGUUGUCCGGAAUUAUUGGGCGUAAAGAGCUCGUAGGCGGUCUGUUGCGUCCGCUGUGAAAACUCGGGGCUUAACCCCGAGCCUGCAGUGGAUACGGGCAGACUAGAGGUAGGUAGGGGAGAAUGGAAUUCCCGGUGUAGCGGUGAAAUGCGUAGAUAUCAGAAGGAACAUCAGUGGCGAAGGCGGCUUCCUGGACCAAUACUGACGAUCAGGUGCGAAAGCGUGGGGAGCAAACAGG